Molecule: ribosomal RNA, 672 nt
Filed under: Triticum aestivum (bread wheat)
Lineage: Eukaryota; Viridiplantae; Streptophyta; Magnoliopsida; Poales; Poaceae
Description: partial small subunit ribosomal RNA
Source: RNAcentral
AUGUCCAAUAAUGUUGUGACAAGUGUUCGAACAAGUGAUGUCGACACCGAUGACUUCCCGAUUAAGAUAGGACUGCAUCAGGGGUCAGCUUUGAGCCCUUAUCUUUUUGCAUUGGUGAUGGAUGAGGUCACAAGGGGUAUACAAGGAGAUAUCCCAUGGUGUAUGCUCUUUGCGGAUGAUGUGGUGCUAGUUGACGAUAGUCGGACGGGGGUAAAUAGGAAGUUAGAGUUAUGGAGACAAACCUUGGAAUCGAAAGGGUUUAGGCUUAGUAGAACUAAAACCGAGUACAUGAUGUGCGGUUUCAGUACUACUAGCUGUGAGGAGGAGGAGGUUAGCCUUGAUGGCCAGGUGGUACCUCGGAAGGACACCUUUCAGUAUUUGGGGUCAAUGUUGCAGGAGGAUGGGGGUAUUGAUGAAGAUGUUAACCAUCGAAUCAAAGCCGGAUGGAUGAAGUGGCGCCAAGCUUCUGGCAUUCUCUGUGACAAGAGAGUGCCACAAAAGCUAAAAGGCAAGUUCUACAGGACGGCGGUUCGACCCGCAAUGUUGUAUGGCGCGGAGUGUUGGCCGACUAAAAGGCGACAUGUUCAACAGUUAGGUGUGGCGGAGAUGCGUAUGUUGAGAUGGAUGUGUGGCCACACGAGGAAGGAUCGAGUCCGGAAUGAUGAUAUAUGA